UAUAUCUUCGCUAUAUUAUAGUCACCUGCGUAACAAAACAUACGCACAGCAAAUUGCAUUAGGUUAUCGAGGCAUAUAAAAGGAAUCGCAGGUGAAGCGCAAAUUCAGUAUUAAUUAUCGAAUCAAUUAUACGGUAUAAAACUCGGUUUAACUCGACUCGUGUGGUUUUUUGUCCCUUUUUGUAAUUUUUUUCCCCCUUCGGCAUAAUGAAGCCUGUUUUCUUUUAUGUUGCGGUGGCAGUUUGCUUUGUUCAUGCGAGUGUUGCUUUGCCUACUACAGCUGGACCGACUGACACAACCUCAUCUGGUAAGAUAAUGCAAACAACCAUCACGGGGAAGUCCUUACUGGAGACGAAAACAACGUCUGAUGGAAUCCGAGAAGAUAAGACGACAAUCGCUGAAAAUCAAGAUACAUAUAUAACAGGUUCAUCCACACCAGGACCAACUCGUACUACGACACUAAAACUCGAAAAAAUCGAUUCAACUCCAAUUACACCUACAACUGCAUCACCCGUUCCCGAAGAGUCGAGAACAACUGGAACUGGUAUACCUGCAACCAUAACCACCACCACAACUACGAAAUGUUAAAUUGAUAAUAUUCGCCAACAACGUUCGCGAAAUUAUUAUCCGAUUUUAAAUUACGAGUAGGUAUUUCCGUAUAUUAUGGUAGGUACUUUAAGAGCAGAUUGCUUUAAAAUUCGUCAUUAGUAGGUUUGUUUGAUCGAUAUGUAGUAUUUGUUUACAUGUGACGAUAUUAUACCUCUAUAUACAAAUGUAAUUCGUUUUAUAAUGAAAAUACACUGUAAAGAUUUACGCGCUUGGAAAACUUUCAUAUAUGAGCGGAUUCUGCGAUGGUAUAAGCGGCGUACUUAAGCCGAAAAGCCUCACUCUCUGGAAGCUGUGUUCGAAAAAGGCAUUCGGUAUUCGGCAUCCUGCACACCGUUGCUGGUACUCGUAUAGUACUACAAAGGCGUAUCAUCGAAUAAAAUUGCCUGACGCUGGUUCACGCGACGACGAUGAAAUUGUUUUUCAGCCGAAUAGAGCGAUAAGAUUAAGCUUUAAAAAAAUUUCAAGCCGCAUUUAAUUUCGAUUUUCGCGACGACGACGAAGGCGACGUCUUGAUAAAAAUCACCUUUCGCUGGAGGCAGCGUGCGCCAGUGCCACCCGAACCGAAAGCAAGAAGAAGAAUUUAAUCAAGCCAAAAAUACGACAAGACGACUUCGCAGACGACGAGGCAGCAAAAGAUGUUUCGAUUUUAUAACCCGUAAAUUUCCAACACAUUUCUUCGCAUAUACUGGCUGGCUGGCGUACCUACACAUGUGAGCUAGGGUAUGGGUUCGCCUCUCGGUCUCGGCUUCUUCCGUUCUCUGUAGAAACAGUAUGUCUAGUCGAGUAGAAAUAAUCAGCCCUGGAUUGUAUUCAAAGAAACAUAUUUUUCACCUUCUAUUUAACACUAAGACUAGAAACAAUAUGUAACCUGGUUAAAAGCUCAGGUAGGUACCUAGACCUAAAUUUACCACCAUACUACGUCUACAUAAUUUACAUACGCACUUACUCAGGUCACCGUAUUAUAAACAAUACGCUAUACAUCGCCAGACAAGGGUGAAUAUGCUGUAAAAGCUUCUUUCGUACUGGUAAUUUCUCGCAAAUAGUCGAGACUAAAAUUACCAUUAUUCUGGACACUUAUGAUGGGGUGUUCGUAAAUUACUAGUAUAAUGCAUCGUAGGUAGGUACGAGUAUUGGCCUUUUUACCCUCUUAAUUUCGGAUUUUUUUUUUCAAUAGCUACACUGUAUGAUUUUUUUUUCACACGAAGAAUAGUCUCGAAUUUUUCAACCAUUCGCUACGCGAUAUUUUAUGGUAAGCGUAGAUUAUAUAUAUAAAAAAAAGUUUCCCAUUUUAUGACGCAAUAUCCAAGUGUUGCGAAUUUUACUGCGAUAACGUUAUUUAUUGUUUUAUGAUAAGCAACAGCCAGCCGAGCCAUCGUUAAAAGUAGGCUCGAGACGUUAAGGAAGAGCAAAGAGUUGUGAUUUUAAGCAAUUCGAAUACUUCCUUCGAGAUGAAGUUAAUAAUAUAGCGUAGGUGGAAUUUUACCUUGACAUAAUUGGAAAAUUAUCACGAUAGAAGGGUGAGGAGGGAAGAGAGGAGAAUGAUAUUAAUUUUUGUUUAUUUAUGGGUAUUUGCAGCGGGUAAUUUUGUUUACUCAUCUCGGAAGAAAUUCAAGACGUCAACAUGUACGUAUGAUCAAUAUAUUACACUGAAUCAACGUUCAUUAACGAAAAACCGUGCUUCAGAAAUAAACUCCAUUCAUCAGCGUGAGUCUGAGUUUCAUCGAGGUUGAUAACGGUAAAUUUGAAGAGAUGAAGCGGGUCCGCUGACUGCAAGAUAGUUUCAGCCUGGCUUUGUGUUUUAUUUUAGUGAAAAACGCAACACUAAAAAUUUCAAUUUUGUAACAUAGCGAAAUAACAGAAUGAACAAAAAAUUUGUUACGUACAACACCGAUUUUUUUCAGCUGAGUGUAUGAUGUAUUAUUUUCUGUCAAUAUUGUUGUACUUCAACUUUAAAAAUGUUCCUAUAAAAAAAAAAUGUUUUGACACUUG
This is a long non-coding RNA of Planococcus citri (citrus mealybug), 2597 nucleotides long. RefSeq lists it as uncharacterized. The record is from RefSeq and is a predicted model, not a curated record. Lineage: Eukaryota; Metazoa; Arthropoda; Insecta; Hemiptera; Pseudococcidae. The transcript is spliced from 3 exons.